AAUAAAUUUACAAGUUAUAUUAUAUUUAAUAUAAGUGUAUAGACAUUAUUAUAACAUUGUAUAGAUUUUAUUAAAGUAUAAUCCACGCUCCACGGUGUAAAGUAGAUCUUCUCAGAGUUCAGAACUUCAGAAUUUGUAAAUGAAAAACAGAAGCACACUACACGGUGUCACAGCUACUACCUUCGACCAUAUCACCACAGACGUCACAUGUGGCAGGAGGUGUUGAGAUGCUGCUCGCACAAUACCAUCCAUGGCCACAGUCCAACAGUAUGUAUUGGGCCUGGUCUGGUACAUAUUGUACAUGGUGCAUACAUCCAAGGCACUGACUUCCAAUUGGAUCGAGUAAUGAAGUUAACAUGCAUUAUAUGGAUGGGCUGUGUUGUGGGAAAUUAUACUUUGCAAACUCCGCAUUUAUCUAAUCGAAUCGCACACUCAUCACAGCACCAUCUGUGACCGCAAGGCACCAAUAUGUUGGCCGAAUUUACUUGGCUCCAACAUUCAAGGCAAAUAAAACAUCUGUCUACAGUGUCACCUUUAGAAUAAAAAGUAUAAUAUUGUGGCAGCAUGAUGGUUUUUACGGAAUAAUGUCACCAUGCCAUGGGUCUGGACAAAACAAAAAAUGCUCUUCAAACAAAUAGUGCAUUUGAGAAUAUAAUUUCUUUAUUGGCUAGGGUAAAUCACAAAUGCUGAAAUACAUUAAGAAUAUCAGUGAACUCGUAAACUUUUUUUUAGUUAAUAGUUUUUUUAAUGUACCUAAUUUCUUUUAAAUACUAUUGUAUUUUACAUUGAUAUAAUAUAACAUGACGUAUACAUAAGAUGUACUAAGUAUACUGUGUUCAAGUUGAGAAAUAUAGUUCAAUAUAAUUUAUUAUGAUUAGAGACCGGAAUUCUAUGCAUUUGCAUGUUCAUACUGAGUGUAUGCACUUAUACGAGGGUUAAAAAGCCAGGAUUAUGAAAGCGAGGGGAUUACUUACAUACUUUUUAAAAAUGUACUUUUUCUAGUAGAUUCAUGAAAUAACCUGCGUAGACGUAUAAUACUCAAAAUUACAAUCUUAAAAAGUUCAUAACCUUGGAACUAAGUCUUGCAGACAAAUUCUGAUUGCAUCAUUGUGCUUAACUCAUUGAAAUAUAAAUAUAGGUUCCCGAAAAAAAUUCCCAAAAAUCGAGCUAAACUGCAUUAUUUCAAUAUAUUUGUGCAAUAUUGCAAUAGUGAUUAGUGUUUAAUACUAAGUUAUAUUAUCUGGAUUUGGGUUUUUAUUUGUUGUUUCUUAAUAAAUUUGAAAAAAAAAUAAUAAGUUACCUAUGAACCAUAAAUUACUUCAGCGUUGCCUCUGUUAAUAAUUAUUCGUGGGACGUGGCAUUAUCAACUCUUAUUAUCUCGACUUAAUAUUUUGAUUACAUAUUAAACUUAAAAAUAAGAAACUAGUGUUGUGAUGCAUGUCCUUUAAGUACCUAAUACAUUUAUGAACAGUGAUAUAAAACUAUUAAACUGUAGGUACGUAACUUCGGUAUACAUUUGGGAGGGCUAAUUUAAAACUUUGUGGCUUAGCCCCACAAGCCCCCACCUAGCUCCGCCUAUGGCUUGGGGGAACGAAUUAGACAAAUUUAGUCAAUUUGCGCCUAUGUCUCAAUUCAUGCUUUGUCAUUUCAGAUAUUUUCACAAUGGUGAUGAUUAGAUGAUUUGAAAAUUUAAACGACCACAAAACCAAAAAAAAAAACAAUUUCGGUAUAUUUUUCGCUCAAUGAGCAAUUCCAGUGUUUGGGUCUUACAUAAUAUUAUAUCGGUACAAUUUUAAUUGAUACAAGCUGCUUAUAAUAACUUAAUAUUAAUAGGUAAAUAGUACCUAACUACAAAGUUGAGAUUAAAAUUAAAAAUGCUUUAGCCUCUCUAGCUCAACAAUAGACGCAUUAGCGUAGCGGCAUGGUGAACAUGGAUUAACCAUGAUGCCCAGGAUAUACUUCAGUAUUAUUAUAAGAAACAAAAUAAUCGAAAUUAGAAAUUUUUAAAUCAUGACCAAAAUAUGUUUAUAAAUGCUAUAAUUGUCUAAAUUAAUAUUAUAAAUGGAUUUAAUAAUCAUUAAAGUUUUUUUUAAAUUGUUACCUAUGUAAUAUCCAGUAUCCUAACAUUUACUUACCUACCUAAUAACUAGGUAGAUACUAGAUACUAUAAUAGGUUAAUUCUACAGAAAAAGUAGAUAAUAUUAUUCAUUGAUCGUUUUUACGUACAAUAUUUCUAUAUUAGACAUUUCUAAGUAAAAUGUAGUUUAAAGAUAAUUCGCAAAUGAUCCUUGUCUCCCGGAACAUGUCGAGUACUCUUUUUCACCAUAAUAUGUUUAAAUCACCAUUUUUUAUAAAUUAUAAAAAUUUCGUGCUAUAAAUAGGUAUAAAUAUAUCAAUAAAAAAAAGAGAUAAUCUCAUUUUUCAUCUUUAGAAUAGGGUGUUAUAAAUUGCAAUUUUCUAGUACUUGUUUUUCAACUAUUUAUUGUAAUUAUGUUUAAGGAUUCUCAAUACAAUACAGUUACACCAUCACAUUUAUUUAAUGUUCAUAAUAAGUUAACAAUUUUAUACAAUUAUAUUAUUUAAUUUACAUUCAAUAUAAUUCAGAAUCCAGGAUUCACAUGAUAAAAUAACACUAAAAUAAUUAUUUACUGAGCCUAAAAAAUAUCAUUGAAAUGUGCAUUAAUACUACCUUAAUAUCUUAAUACCUUAAUACUACCUUAAUACUACCUUCUAUUAAUUUGAAAAACAGAAAAACUAUUAUUAGACAGAGGAAACAUAAAAGGAAUAUAUAUCAAUUUAUAAAAUAUUGUUAAAACUAAGCAUAUUAUUAUUCAUUUAAGAACUUAAAAUUUACUUUAAAAUAAAUUUUACAUUAUAAAAUAUAUACUAAUUAAUUACAGCUUAUUGAAUUGUUUGAAUUGUAUUAAUUGUUAUUCUACCAAUAAAUUUAUUGAAAUAACUUCGUUCUAUGUUAUAAAUUGUAUAUAAUAUAAUAUAAAUAUAUAUAUAUUUUUUUUGAUAAGCUUCUAUAAACUCUGCAAAAUCAGAACAGCACAAUGGAA
This is a long non-coding RNA of Metopolophium dirhodum (rose-grain aphid), 3062 nucleotides long. RefSeq lists it as uncharacterized. NCBI's taxonomy places the organism in Eukaryota, Metazoa, Arthropoda, Insecta, Hemiptera, Aphididae. The transcript is spliced from 4 exons. The record is from RefSeq and is a predicted model, not a curated record.